GGAGAGAUGGCCGAGUGGUCGAAGGCGCUUGCCUGCUAAGCAAGUGUGGAGGUAACUCCACCGAGGGUUCGAAUCCCUCUCUCUCCGCCA
Molecule: transfer RNA, 90 nt
Filed under: Fervidobacterium sp.
Lineage: Bacteria; Thermotogati; Thermotogota; Thermotogae; Thermotogales; Fervidobacteriaceae
Also listed under: 1 other name
Description: tRNA-Ser
Rfam family: tRNA
About the family: Transfer RNA (tRNA) molecules are approximately 80 nucleotides in length. Their secondary structure includes four short double-helical elements and three loops (D, anti-codon, and T loops).
Source: RNAcentral